Molecule: ribosomal RNA, 746 nt
Filed under: Salinicoccus hispanicus
Lineage: Bacteria; Bacillati; Bacillota; Bacilli; Caryophanales; Staphylococcaceae
Description: bacterial SSU rRNA
Rfam family: Bacterial small subunit ribosomal RNA
Source: RNAcentral
GUCGAACGCGCGGAUCAGGAGCUUGCUCCUGUGACGCGAGUGGCGGACGGGUGAGUAACACGUAGGCAACCUGCCCAUCAGACCGGGAUAACCACGGGAAACCGUGACUAAUACCGGAUAAUCCUUUUCCUCACAGGAGGGAAAGUUGAAAGGCGGUCUUUUGACUGCCACUGAUGGAUGGGCCUGCGGCGCAUUAGCUAGUUGGUGGGGUAAGGGCCCACCAAGGCGACGAUGCGUAGCCGACCUGAGAGGGUGAUCGGCCACACUGGGACUGAGACACGGCCCAGACUCCUACGGGAGGCAGCAGUAGGGAAUCUUCCGCAAUGGACGAAAGUCUGACGGAGCAACGCCGCGUGAGUGAAGAAGGGUUUCGGCUCGUAAAACUCUGUUGUCAGGGAAGAACGUCCCCGUGAGUAACUGCACGGGGAGUGACGGUACCUGACCAGAAAGCCACGGCUAACUACGUGCCAGCAGCCGCGGUAAUACGUAGGUGGCAAGCGUUAUCCGGAAUUAUUGGGCGUAAAGCGCGCGUAGGCGGUCUGUUAAGUCUGAUGUGAAAGCCCCCGGCUCAACCGGGGAGGGUCAUUGGAAACUGGCAGACUUGAGUGCAGAAGAGGAGAGUGGAAUUCCAUGUGUAGCGGUGAAAUGCGCAGAGAUAUGGAGGAACACCAGUGGCGAAGGCGGCUCUCUGGUCUGUAACUGACGCUGAGGUGCGAAAGCGUGGGGAUCAAACAGGAUUAGAUACC